RNAcentral lists this ribosomal RNA (250 nucleotides) under uncultured prokaryote. Its description in RNAcentral is "partial 16S ribosomal RNA". It matches the Rfam family "Bacterial small subunit ribosomal RNA", at positions 524 to 773 of the family's 1533-position model. The record is from RNAcentral.
UACAUAGGGGGCAAGCGUUGUCCGGAAUGACUGGGCGUAAAGGGUGUGUAGGCGGUUAUACAAGUUAAAAGUGAAAUCCCCGGGCUUAACUCGGGUGCUGCUUUUAAGACUGUAUGACUUGAGUGCAGUAGAGAAAAGUGGAAUUCCUAGUGUAGCGGUGGAAUGCGUAGAUAUUAGGAGGAACACCAGAGGCGAAGGCGACUUUUUGGACUGUAACUGACGCUGAGGCACGAAAGUGUGGGGAGCAAAC